GCCCUCAUAGCUCAGUAGGUCAGAGCAGCUGUUUUGUAAUCAGCGGGUCCGGGGUUCGAAUCCUCGUGGGGGCU
This 74-nucleotide transfer RNA is filed under the name Paramicrobacterium chengjingii. RNAcentral's name for it is "Microbacterium sp. HY60 tRNA-Thr". It matches the Rfam family "tRNA". Rfam says of the family: Transfer RNA (tRNA) molecules are approximately 80 nucleotides in length. Their secondary structure includes four short double-helical elements and three loops (D, anti-codon, and T loops). The record is from RNAcentral. Lineage: Bacteria; Bacillati; Actinomycetota; Actinomycetes; Micrococcales; Microbacteriaceae.